AGUAACGCGUAUCCAACCUUCCCAUGACCAGGGAAUAACCUUGCGAAAGUAAGACUAAUGCCCUAUGGUUUCCUCAGCGGACAUCCAAAGAGGAAUAAAGAUUUAUCGGUGAUGGAUGGGGGAUGCGUCUGAUUAGCUUGUUGGCGGGGUAACGGCCCACCUAGCCUUCGAUCGGUAGGGGUUCUGAGAGGAAGGUCCCCCCACAUUGGAACUGAGACACGGUCCAAACUCCUACGGGAGGCAGCAGUGAGGAAUAUUGGUCAAUGGGCGCAAGCCUGAACCAGCCAAGUAGCGUGAAGGAUGACUGCCCUAUGGGUUGUAAACUUCUUUUAUGCGGGAAUAACCCUCGACCAUGUAUGGUCGUUUGCAUGUACCGCAAGAAAAAGCAUCGGCUAAUUCCGUG
RNAcentral lists this ribosomal RNA (403 nucleotides) under uncultured bacterium. Its description in RNAcentral is "bacterial SSU rRNA". It matches the Rfam family "Bacterial small subunit ribosomal RNA", at positions 109 to 507 of the family's 1533-position model. The record is from RNAcentral.